This 494-nucleotide ribosomal RNA is filed under the name uncultured bacterium. RNAcentral describes it as "bacterial SSU rRNA". It matches the Rfam family "Bacterial small subunit ribosomal RNA", at positions 29 to 526 of the family's 1533-position model. The record is from RNAcentral.
AAUGAACGCUUGCGCCAUGCCUAACACAUGCAAGUCGAACGAAAUUGUUUUUACAACCUUGGUUGUUUGACAGUUUAGUGGCGAACGGGUGAGUAACGCGUAAGUUACCUACCCCUGGGAGAGGGAUACUAACUGGAAACGGUUUUUAAUACCUCAUAGGCUGAGAAGUAAAAGUAACAACGCCUAGGGACGGGCUUGCGUCUGAUUAUUUUCGCUAGUUGGUUGAGGUAAUGGCUCAGCCAAGGUGAUGAUCAGUAGCUGGUCUGAGAGGAUGACCGGCCACACUGGGACUGAGAGACGGCCCAGACUCCUACGGGAGGCAGCAGUGAGGAAUCUUCCGCAAUGGGCGAAAGCCUGACGGAGCAAUGACGCGUGAGGGAUGACCGCCUGUGGGUGUUAAACCUCUUUUCCCGGAGAAGAAGGACGCGAAAGCGCCUUGACGGUAUCCGGGGAAUAAGCAUCGGCUAACUUCGUGCCAGCAGCCGCCGUAAAAC